AAUGGUAGGAGUGGCAGAUUGUGCAGAGGAAGAGGAUGAGAAGAAACUUGUGCUUCUCAUCCAAUAUUUGUAGAACUCUCUUGAUGUGCGAUUGUGCAUUUUUUAGGUCCUCUUUCUGUGCACUUGCACUUGUAGAAGUAUUCUUUUGUGCACUUGUAAAAUUAUUUUGAUGUGCACUUGUUAGGCCUUGAACCUUGAUGUGUAGAGGAGUCGUGGAUGAUGUAUUGUAUGUCAUGUGAUGUGCU
RNAcentral lists this long non-coding RNA (245 nucleotides) under Hordeum vulgare. RNAcentral's name for it is "long non-coding RNA (HVUL_LNC012944)". The record is from RNAcentral. Lineage: Eukaryota; Viridiplantae; Streptophyta; Magnoliopsida; Poales; Poaceae.